ACAGGGAUGCCUUAGUAACUGCGAGUGAAGCGGCAAAAGCUCAAAUUUGAAAUCUGCGGGCGCCGAGUUGUAAUCUUGAGAUGCGUUUUCGACCGACACCCUUGGAACAGGGCGUCACAGAGGGUGAGAAUCCCGUGAACGGUAGGCCUCGAGGCUAAUGAUACGUAUUCAACGAGUCGAGUUGUUUGGGAAUGCAGCUCAAAAUGGGUGGUAAAUUUCAUCUAAAGCUAAAUAUUGGGGAGAGACCGAUAGCGCACAAGUAGAGUGAUCGAAAGAUGAAAAGCACUUUGAAAAGAGAGUUAAAAAGUACGUGAAAUUGUUGAAAGGGAAGCGCUUGAGGCCAGACUCAUUCACUGUUGAUCAACGGGUGCACUCGGCGGUGUGGGACAGCAUCGGUUCGCGGAGGGACAAAGAAAUGUGGCACCCACCUGCGGGGCAAUGCCUCCGCUGGGACCGAGGACCGCGCUCCGGCCUUCAGCGACCCGUCUUGAAACACGGACCAAGGAGUCUAACAUCUAUGCGAGUGUUCGGGUGGAAACCCUUGCGCGUAAUGAAGGUGAACGGAGGUGGGACGCACCAUCGACCGAUCCUGAAGUCUUCGGAAGGAUUUGAGUAUGAGCAUAGCUGUUGGGACCCGAAAGAUGGUGAACUAUGCCUGAAUAGGGUGAAGCCAGGGGAAACUCUGGUGGAGGCUCGGUUCUGACGUGCAAAUCGAUCGUCAAAUUUGGGGCGAAAGACUAAUCG
This 744-nucleotide ribosomal RNA is filed under the name Tarzetta cupularis. RNAcentral's name for it is "partial large subunit ribosomal RNA". It matches the Rfam family "Eukaryotic large subunit ribosomal RNA", at positions 68 to 937 of the family's 3401-position model. Lineage: Eukaryota; Fungi; Ascomycota; Pezizomycetes; Pezizales; Tarzettaceae. The record is from RNAcentral.